UGCGAAACGCGAGAAAAAGAACGAAAAACGCUGACCAGUGAAUGCGCAAGCCUCAGGCGCACGCUCGCCCCCUCCCCUCCUCUCCCAGUGUGAGCCUCGCGAGUUGAACUGAAAACAUGGUCUGAGUCGAACAGAGAUGACAGAACAGGUGGGCAGUCCGGCUCUCUGGGUCUCGAGUUUUUGGAGGAGAAGAACGUUGGUCAAGACCUGUCGUUUCUUACCAUUUUUGUCGUUCCCGUCCAGUCUCGCGCUUCUGAGACCGAGACCUGAGCGCUGAAGUCAGACUUUUCGAUUUGAGUUAUACAGUUCUGGUUCGCGGAUCAUUUGUACAGAGACAAUAUCUACUUAUAACGUGAUAAUUACAAUACAUGGUCUAGCUAUGAUCUUUAAGUUCUUAAUGCCGGCUUUGUACGGAGAGGAUAUGGUAACUUCUUUGUACCAAUCUGUACAUUGGUGGUUCGGAAGUCGUUUUCCCAAGAACUAACGCGAUCUCCUAUUUCCUAGUACCGUUAGUCAACUCAUUUGGUCUGAUCCUAAGUACGCAGUGAGCUACUGCAGUUAUGAGAUACAGACAACCAAGUUCUGUAUGAUUGCUGUACACCACCACCCCACUGGACUGCUAAAGACAGCUAAAAGUGCUGGAUUUCAAUAUCCUACGACAUUAAGGUACGGUCGUAAGGUGCGCCAGGGAUAACAGGU
RNAcentral lists this long non-coding RNA (699 nucleotides) under Toxoplasma gondii VEG. The record is from RNAcentral. Lineage: Eukaryota; Apicomplexa; Conoidasida; Eucoccidiorida; Sarcocystidae.